Fukomys damarensis (Damara mole-rat) is the source of this 745-nucleotide long non-coding RNA. RefSeq lists it as uncharacterized. The transcript is spliced from 3 exons. Lineage: Eukaryota; Metazoa; Chordata; Mammalia; Rodentia; Bathyergidae. The record is from RefSeq and is a predicted model, not a curated record.
CGCAGCAAUCCCAGCCUGAGAAGGGAGCGGCGACGGGGGACCCCUGGGGUCACCUCCCCGGGGAGCAUCUGUGGCCAGCUCGGGUGUGGCUGUCAGGGCGAGAGGGUGAGCAUCGGGUCCCGACCCCGGCUGGGCGGCAGCUGUGAGGCCUGUGGUCGGUGUCUCCCGACCUCUGCCUUCCACGGCCAGCGUGGGAGAGAGAGGCCCGAGGGAACCUGAAGGGCGACUCACAGAGGGGCUGCGGAGGACGGGGUCACAGGGCCGCCCCUUGGCUCUGUGGAGCUCGCACGGCAGAUCGGAGGGACAGAAGUUCUCGGCAGGGAGCCCCUGUGUGGAAAGAGGAGAGCGACUGUGUUUUGCCACUCGCUGGCUGUUAGACCUCAGGAUCUCGCUGUGUCACUAACUCACUGAGGCUGGGCUCAAACUUUCCAUUCUCCUGCCUCAGCCUCCGGAGUAGCUGGGAUUGCAUGGGGCCUGGCAUCCGCGGAAACUUUGAGGACUUCUGGACAGGCCUUCGGAGGGGUCCUCCUGAUGUCCACUCCUCACACCCUGCUUUCCUCUGCCUGCGGCUGCCAGGUCUGUCCUCAGCCUCUGAGGAAACUGAGUCUCGCAGUACCCGAGACACCAUGCCACACGGGGAAACUGAGGCCAUGUAUUUUAUUAAAAUCCUUCAUAGAUUCUUCAAGAAUACUCAUUAGAAGAUCCCUUUCUUUAUCCUGCCCCCUUGAGCUGGGGUGGCAGGCGC